Molecule: long non-coding RNA, 635 nt
Filed under: Vombatus ursinus (common wombat)
Lineage: Eukaryota; Metazoa; Chordata; Mammalia; Diprotodontia; Vombatidae
Description: lncRNA (ENSVURG00010013004.1)
Source: RNAcentral
GGCAGAUGAAUCACAAGGCAAGUCUCUGAUACAGGAUUGGAGCCCAGGCCACUUCUCGCACUGAACAAGGUCACAUCAACAAGUAGGAUGACAACAGAUAGUUCUGCAAAGUUGGUGGAAGAAACCACCAAAAUUACUUCUGGAAUUCUCAAGAUGGCUUCCAGGAACAGUCUCCAUUGUGUGGUGGUUAAGAUAUAAAAAGUGAAUGUAUUCCUGAUUGGACAUUUGCUUUCUCUGAACUGGAAAAGUUGAAGGGGAAAACUGAAAUUCAGGAAAGGUUAACACAAUGAUUACAGUAAGCUUAUUAAAAUAUCUGAAGAGAAUUGGUGAAAUGUGGUGCUCACUACACUCUGUAGCUUCUGCUCUUCCUUGUUUUAAUUGGCAGAGGUGUUCUUCCUCUUCAAAUUGAUUCCAAUACUCCAUGUCAUUCCUCCUAACACCGGCCCCCUCCCAAAGGAGAGUUUUAUCUUAAUAGAUACUGAGACAUUCCUGAAGAGGACAUUUCCUCAUCACCUGUGUACAAAACAGCCUCAAGGACGUGGGAGGAAGAAGGUGCUCUAGAAGACUUGGCUGAUGCAUUAUGAUGGGCAAUUGAGGCAAGGGGCUUGGCUCAGCUGAAUCAAUUAGAGAUGCCC